AUGGAUCUGGAGCUCGCGCACGGCGCGGGGGCGCCGCGGAAGCGGGGGGAGUCGUGGGGCGCGGUGCUGCUGCUGGCGUACCAGAGCCUCGGGGUGGUGUACGGCGACGUGGCCACGUCGCCGCUCUACGUCUUCAAGAGCGCCUUCGCCGGCGACGACAUCACGCACACGGCGGGCAACGAGGAGAUCUACGGCGUCCUCUCCUUCGUCUUCUGGACGCUCACCCUCAUCUCCCUCCUCAAGUACGUCCUCAUCGUGCUCCGCGCCAACGACGGCGGCGAGGGCGGCACCUUCGCGCUCUACUCCCUCAUCUGCCGCCACGUGCGCGCCGGCCUCCUGCCCGGCGGCGGCACCAGCGACGACCUCAUGUCGGACGACAAGGACGCCGCCGCCCGUCGCGGCGCCGUCUCCAGGGCCAGGACGGUGCUGGAGAGGUACAGGGUGCUGCAGAGGCUCUUGCUGCUCUUCGCGCUGCUUGGGACGUGUAUGCUCAUCGGUGACGGAGUGCUCACCCCUGCGCUCUCCGUUUUCUCCGCGGUCUCGGGGCUCGAGCUAUCAAUGGAGAGGGCGCAACACAAAUAUGUAGGGCUUCCGGUGACGUGCGCCAUACUUAUAUGCUUGUUUGCUCUGCAACACUAUGGCACGCACAGAGUUGGGUUUAUCUUUGCGCCAAUCGUCUGCAUUUGGCUUCUCUGCAUAAGCACGAUAGGGCUCUACAACAUCAUCUACUGGAACCACCAUGUGUAUCGAGCCCUUUCGCCAUACUACAUGUAUCAGUUCCUCAAGAAGACUCAGAAAGGUGGCUGGAUGUCACUGGGUGGAAUCCUUCUCUGUGUUACAGGCUCGGAAGCUAUGUAUGCAGAUCUUGGACAUUUCUCGCAGAGAUCAAUUCAGAUUGCGUUCAUAUCAGUGGUUUAUCCAGCUCUUGUCCUGGCUUAUAUGGGACAGGCUGCCUAUAUCUCUCAACACCACAGCUUUGAGAAUAGCUAUCAUAUUGGGUUCUAUGUUUCAGUACCAGAAAAACUCAGAUGGCCUGUUCUAGUGAUCGCUAUCCUAGCAUCUGUGGUCGGAAGCCAAGCGAUUAUUACUGGUACCUUCUCAAUUAUCAAGCAGUGCUCUGCACUAAGUUGCUUCCCUGGUGUAAAGAUCGUGCACACAUCCUCUACGGUGCAUGGUCAGAUAUACAUACCUGAGAUCAAUUGGAUCCUGAUGAUACUGUGUCUGGCUGUUACUAUUGGCUUCAAUAACACAAAGCACUUGGCGAACGCACAAGGUCUUGCGGUCAUAACGGUUAUGCUUGUGACCACUUGUUUAAUGUCAUUGGUUAUCGUGCUUGUCUGGAACAAAAGUAUCUUCAUUGCCCUUGGUUUCCUGAUUUUCUUUGGCUCAAUCGAAGUAAUGUACUUCUCAGCUUCCCUUGUCAAGUUUCAUGAAGGUGCCUGGGUCCCUAUUACCCUUUCCUUCAUAUUUAUGGUGGUCAUGUAUGUGUGGCACUAUGGCACAAUAAAGAAGUACGAGUUUGAUGUUCAAAACAAGGUUUCAGUAAACUGGCUAUUGAACCUCGGCCCUUCACUGGGAAUUGUUCGUGUUCGAGGCAUUGGGCUGAUACAUACAGAGCUUAUGUCUGGAAUUCCAGCCAUUUUCUCCCAUUUCGUAACAAAUCUGCCAGCAUUUCACCAGGUACUGGUCUUUCUCUGCGUUAAAUCAGUUCCAGUACCACAUGUUGAACCAGAAGAGAGAUUUCUGGUGGGUCGCAUUGGUCCGAAAGAGUACAGGCUAUACAGGGUCAUUGUCAGAUAUGGGUACCGUGAUGUGCAGCAGGAUGACCUAGAAUUUGAAAAGGACCUAAUUAACAGCAUAGCGGAGUUCAUUCGCAGUGGGGGGUCUGACCAGAAUGGCUUUGUGGAAGGCAGCGAGAAACUCUCCUCCAUUAGCAGCGGUGCCAUUCCAUUGUGGGAGGAGGACGGUGACGGUGAAGUUGAUGGGCCGGCAUCCCCUAACAAGGAGAUAAACCAACAAACUGUGGUGCCACAGCGAAAGCAAGCGAGGUUUGUGCUACCAAAGAGCGCCCAGGUGGACGCCGAGGUGCGGAGCGAGCUGCAGGACCUGAUGGACGCAAGGGAGGCUGGCAUGUCCUUCAUUCUGGGUCACUCCCACAUGAAGGCCAAGAGCGGGUCUAGCUUCGUGAAGCGGAUCGUGAUAAACUUCUUCUACGAGUUCUUGAGGAGGAACAGCCGUGGCCCGUCCUAUGCCGCUAACAUACCCCAUGCUUCCACCUUGGAGGUAGGAAUGGUCUACCAAGUCUGA
Molecule: ribosomal RNA, 2307 nt
Filed under: Triticum aestivum (bread wheat)
Lineage: Eukaryota; Viridiplantae; Streptophyta; Magnoliopsida; Poales; Poaceae
Description: partial small subunit ribosomal RNA
Source: RNAcentral